ACUUCGUUUUAUUUAGAGAAUUAUUCGAAGUUAAUAUAUUUGUAGUGAAACUGGUUUUAGUUUAAUGCGCUAGGUGCUCCCUGACUCGUUUAUGCCGUCUUUAACAAUUAAUACGAGUUUUCAAUAUUUACUGCGCCAGCGAAAACGCAUGCUUCCUAGUUGCUUUUGUUGUUGUUAUAUUAUACGGAAUGCGAAUUCUUACUCGGGUGUGGGUAGCCAUACUGGAUUGUUGUUUUUGGCGGUGCUGUUGUUGCUGGCGUUUGGCCUGAACUCGCUUGGGUGAGUGUCCUUGCAGCGGCGCCAAUAUAGCAAUCACAAAAACAACAACUGCUAUAAGCACAACAACAACAAAAGCUAUAAAGAUGGCAAUAACAACAAAAUCAGCGUUGAUUUUCGAAAAAGCAGUCGCUGCGGCAGCGCUGGUGUGAGUCAAGGAGCAAGUGUAACUCGAAAAUAUCUUCGAAUACGCGACUUUCGUCCCGAGUGCUUGCUCCGGCGUCUCUUUGUCAGUCAUCCUGCUGCCUUCUGCCUAACGUUGCUGGUGUAGCCAUCCACAGUGCGGCAUAUUUGCCAUUCAGUUUGUCUUUGUCGUUCGUUGCGGUCGUUACGUUACGUUAAAAACGUUGAAAGGAAUCGCCUAAUAAAAUAAGCCAAACACAGUAGAGCUAAAAAGUAUACCGACAUAUAUAUAAAAAGUAUAUAGAAAUCGCAGUUAAACGCCGAACGGUGCUUUUGGUUUUAGAAAUUGUAGAAUUUUCUAAAUAAAGCUUUUAAAAGUACCGUUAGCCCGUUAAUUGUGCACUGGCUGAAAUACCGACGAAGACAAAGUGCCGCGUAGCGCAAGGAAAUACAAAAAUGUACUUUCACUUGAGGAAUUCUUGCAAAAGUGUAAAUAAUUAAAAAAUUUAGAAAAUUCUAGCAAAAAUAACUUGGCAGUUUCACAAACAUAUCUCUAAA
This is a long non-coding RNA of Bactrocera latifrons, 957 nucleotides long. RefSeq lists it as uncharacterized. The record is from RefSeq and is a predicted model, not a curated record. The transcript is spliced from 2 exons. NCBI's taxonomy places the organism in Eukaryota, Metazoa, Arthropoda, Insecta, Diptera, Tephritidae.